This 210-nucleotide non-coding RNA is filed under the name Litchfieldella anticariensis. Lineage: Bacteria; Pseudomonadati; Pseudomonadota; Gammaproteobacteria; Oceanospirillales; Halomonadaceae. RNAcentral also lists the same sequence under 1 other name. The record is from RNAcentral.
AUGAUCCGACUAGAGACGGGUGCCCCUGCUUCAAGGGGAUAAUCGGGAAGUAUGGUGCGGCUUUUCAGCCAAUCCCAUCGCUGCCCCCGCAACGGUAAUAGAAGAGUAGCCUGCGACAGCCACCGGCAUAUGCCGGGAAGGUGCAGGCGAUGGCGCGAUCUGAAUGCGUCCUCUUCGAGCCCGGAGACCGGCCUGUCAUUUCGUUCCAUC